Molecule: long non-coding RNA, 497 nt
Organism: Papilio machaon (common yellow swallowtail)
Lineage: Eukaryota; Metazoa; Arthropoda; Insecta; Lepidoptera; Papilionidae
Exons: 3
Source: RefSeq, a predicted model, not a curated record
CAAGUUUAUGUCUAACUUUUCGGCACAUUUCUUCAGUUGUGGGAGUGACAUAAGAUAUAAUAUGUAAUUAGGUUUUAUUUGUUUCAUAGAAUAAAUAAUUGAUAAUAAAAAAAAAUAGCCAGAUCUUCCACUUAUUCAAUGUACUGUGAUUAGGAGAAGAGGUCAGAAUCAUAAAAAAAUACAUUAUGUCAUAUAAAUCAAGCCAUCUUAUAAAACUUUACUAUACUAUAUAUUUUAACACAUUAACAAAAUUUCAGGUUUCACCUACACCAGGACCUUCACAUGAGCAUAUACAGAAGAAACAACAAGUGGAAAUGGACCAAAAUGCCUUUGUUACUUCACCAUCAAAUUUGCCUCACAAUAAUGAGCUGCAUGGCAUGAUUGAAGCUUCUAUGGAUGAAGCUUCUGUGGAACAUACUGCAAUACUAAAGUCUAUUGCAAGUUCAAAAAAGCAAUUACAGAAUCGCAGACCCAGCAUUUUGAAACCUUUGGGUGUU